RNAcentral lists this ribosomal RNA (450 nucleotides) under uncultured bacterium. Its description in RNAcentral is "partial 16S ribosomal RNA". It matches the Rfam family "Bacterial small subunit ribosomal RNA", at positions 354 to 796 of the family's 1533-position model. The record is from RNAcentral.
GUGGGGAAUAUUGGACAAUGGGCGAAAGCCUGAUCCAGCCAUGCCGCGUGUGUGAAGAAGGUCUUCGGAUUGUAAAGCACUUUAAGUUGGGAGGAAGGGCAGUAAGUUAAUACCUUGCUGUUUUGACGUUACCGCCAGAAUAAGCACCGGCUAACUUCGUGCCAGCAGCCGCGGUAAUACGAAGGGUGCAAGCGUUAAUCGGAAUUACUGGGCGUAAAGCGCGCGUAGGUGGUUUUGUAAGUUGGAGGUGAAAUCCCCGGGCUCAACCUGGGAACUGCCUCCAAAACUGCAUGACUAGAGUACGGUAGAGGGUAGUGGAAUUUCCUGUGUAGCGGUGAAAUGCGUAGAUAUAGGAAGGAACACCAGUGGCGAAGGCGACUACAUGGACUGAUACUGACACUGAGGUGCGAAAGCGUGGGGAGCAAACAGGAUUAGAAACCCCUGUAGUCC